CAGGGAAUAGUUUAAUUAGAAUUUCAGCUUUGGGAGUUGAUGGUGGAAUAGAGUUUUUCUUCCCUGA
This 67-nucleotide transfer RNA is filed under the name Tamandua mexicana (Mexican collared anteater). RNAcentral describes it as "tRNA-Pro". The record is from RNAcentral. Lineage: Eukaryota; Metazoa; Chordata; Mammalia; Pilosa; Myrmecophagidae. RNAcentral also lists the same sequence under 1 other name.